AUAUUUUGUUUACCUCCGUUUUUUAAAUCAUUGAACUGGAAUAGACACCAGUAUAACAAGUUUUAUCAAAAUUGUUAAAUAUGCUGUGUCAGUUAUUAGACAUUAAUGCAGGUGUAUGCAUUUGACAGUCAUUAUAUACAGCUAAUAUCCUCGGGAAAAUGUUUUAUUAAGUGUACAAAUGGAAAUAGGCACACGUGAGGAGAUAUGUUACAAAUUAUUCCUUUCAUUUAUUAUAUGUCAGGUAAUUAGGGUUUUUUUCUUUUAAAUUAUUUAGUUAUUUAUUUAUUACCUACCUUUUCUAAAAUAUAUGUGUAACCGUUACAUUUAUUGACUUCAUGUAUGUAUAUGAUAUUUCAAACACACAUGUAUACGUAUUAAAUAAUACACAUGUAUACGAUAUAAGAAAAUGAAUAAAAUUGAGAAUGGAAAUGGGGAAUGUGCCAAAGAGACAACAACCCGACCAUAGAAAAAAACAACAGCAGAAGGUCACCAACAGGUCUUCAAUGUAGCGAGAAAUUCCCGCAUCCGGAGGCGUCCUUCAGCUGGCCCCUAAACAAAUAUAUACUAGUUCAGUGAUAAUGAACGCCAUAUUAAUUUCGAAAUUGUACACAAGAAACUAAAAUUAAAAUAAUACAAGACUAACAAAGGCCAGAGGCUCCUGACUUGGGACAGGCACAAAAAUGCGGCAGGGUUAAACAUCUUUGUGAGAUCUCAACCUCCUAAUACACAUAUAUGUAUAUACUAUUGAAAGUUGAUGAUGCUAGUACAAGACGUAAUAAUUGUAAUACAACUUUGACCAAUGCUGAACAAUGUAGAAAUUUACCCCAAAAUAACUACGAUAAAAGUACACUACUGUUAUACAGUAACAGUAAUUGUUCUUUUUAUGGUUAAAAUAUCUGAGUUUCACAUGGUUAAUCUAAAAUAACGUAUUAUUUUUGAUUAUGUUGUUUAUAAAGAGUGUAAACUAUACAAAGAUACAUCUAAAAUUAUUGAUCAUCAGAACAAAUAUGGUAAAAUAUUAACAAAUUGAAUUAAUGUUCUUGUUAGUACGUAUACUAAAGUAUGAGCGUAUAAGCAGAUGAGUAUAUCGACUUAUAUUUUGAAAUAGCAAUAAAUCAUAACGUUCGCUAAUUGUUUAUUAAUUUGUUACACUAAUAGACCAUUACAAUAAGUUUUACUGUAGGUAUUGCCGAGUGUUUGUUCUCAAUGUGGCUAGAGGUAUAGAGAGAUGGUUCUGAUUUUACAAAACGUGUUUUACCUGCCGCAUUUUUGCGCCCGGCUUCAGACAGUAAACUCAGCCCUUCGUUAGUAUUGUAUGAUUUUUAAUUCUAUUUCAUUUAUAUGUUUUGAAGUUUAUUAUAGCCUCCAUUACCACCAAGCUAUUACACAUUUGUUAAGGAGCAAGCUGAAGCACGCCUUCGGGUGCGGGCUUUUCCCGUUAAUUUUAAUACCCAUUGGUGGCUUUCGAUAGCUGUUUGCUCUUUAAUCGGGUUUUGUCUCUUAGACACCGUCCCAAUUUCCAUUCACAAUUUCAUUACUUAUUGAGAUGUAACUAUGUGUUUUUCUUGACUUUCAAAUAUAUGCUGGUAAUACUGUCUUAGGUUAGAAUCAAAUUAUGUAUGUCAUACAACGUCGCACUUUUGUGUGUAACUCGGGUUUUUUUUGUUAAUACAUGUAACUCAAGCCGUUAGUUUUUUUACUGUGGGUCUUUUAUUGCUACCAACUAGUCAGUCGUAUACGUGUCUUGCUUAUUGUUAAAUGUUGUAUUAUGACAUACAGUUGCUAACUUCAUGUCAUUUGGUAAAUAGAUGUCUCAUUUGCAAACAUAGUAUAUCUCAUCAUUUUACUAGAAUAUACUGAGGGCAAAUCGUAAUCAUGAGUCGAACAUUAAAAUUUAAUCCAGUUCCGAGAUUAAAAUGGAAGAAUGAAAUAUCUAUUUAACAGUUAAUAGAUAUAACACCAUUGUUCAUAUGAUAUCAAACAUUGUCAAAGAAACACAAGGACACCCUCGAACUCUGUUCUGUUCCUGUAUUUUGAAUGGUCCUGACAAGUAGAAGUCUUAAGGUAAAUGACAAUCGUCAUCAGACAGAUGACAAAUGACGAACAGAACAAAUCCGUUGCCAUCCAUGACACAAAUUCUUAGUUAAUAAAUCAUCCCGGAAUGAUUCCUGUCAAAUUGUAAAGUAAACACACUAUUAAUGUUACUAUACACACAUGGUUUCAAAAUUUUUCGCUUUGUUUAGUGGCUACCUAUAAUAGCAGCGAAUUUAAGUGACCAACACAAUGACCUUUUACAUAAAAAUAAAUUCGACGAGUAUCUCGACAAAGGAUCGUGGUGUUUUUAAUAUAGUUUGACGUUGUUUAAGAAUUGCUUUUUUGCUGGGUAUUUCAUAGAUAAUGAUAUCAAGUUAAAUGUUUGAGAUGAUAACUUGUAUUCAAAUAUAUUGGAUUUUAAGGAAGUUAUUUCUUAUUUCAUUCAGGAGCAUAUACAUAUUAAAUGUUUAUAGUUGUAAAAAUUAGUUAAUGGCGGGUUGUAAUAAACUGCGCACUGUAUGUUUUUUCUGUGAGAAUAUUGACGGUCUCAAUAUUGCAUUAUCUUUGUGAAGCUUGGUUAUAUUAGAAUAAGAUGAUUGAUAUAAUCUAUGGACUAAUUGUUGUUCACGUUUUUCUUUUAUCAAGCUAAAGUUUGUGUAGGAACUUUAUCAUUUUCAAUUGUUAUAUUCGAUCUCUAUUGUGGUUCGUUAUGUUUUAUGUAUUUUUAAAAGUAAAUCGAAAUAACCAAACCGGAGUCAUUAUGCUUAAUUCGGUGUUAUAUCCGUGCUGGUUAAUGUUAGAUAUCCAUGCUUAUUGCGUACGAACCUUACUUCUAUACUUUCAGAUGCGAGCUGUUCUUUACCGCAAGAUCUAAGGAACAAAGUGUGGGAAUAUAGUUACACUUCAGUAUCAGACAGUUCAAAGAAAGUAAUCAAUUUAGACAUCAAAACUACAACGCUUCAAAACUCUGCCAUUAAUUUAGAAUUCCAGGGAACGAUAAUAAACCAGUGGACUUGCAUCAAUAGUUUAGAUGUUUCUAAC
This 3075-nucleotide long non-coding RNA is filed under the name Mytilus galloprovincialis (Mediterranean mussel). Lineage: Eukaryota; Metazoa; Mollusca; Bivalvia; Mytilida; Mytilidae. The record is from RNAcentral.